This 73-nucleotide transfer RNA is filed under the name Ventrifossa garmani (Sagami grenadier). RNAcentral describes it as "tRNA-Asn". Lineage: Eukaryota; Metazoa; Chordata; Actinopteri; Gadiformes; Macrouridae. The record is from RNAcentral.
UAGGUAGAUGCCCGCUGGUUUGGGCGCUUAGCUGUUAACUAAGAUUUUAAAGGAUCGAGGCCUUUCCACCUAG